This 831-nucleotide ribosomal RNA is filed under the name uncultured SAR324 cluster bacterium. RNAcentral describes it as "SSU rRNA". It matches the Rfam family "Bacterial small subunit ribosomal RNA", at positions 40 to 887 of the family's 1533-position model. The record is from RNAcentral. Lineage: Bacteria; Deltaproteobacteria.
CGGCAUGCUUAACACAUGCAAGUCGAACGAGAAAGCUUCUUCGGAAGUGAUUAAAGUGGCGCACGGGUGAGUAACGCGUAGACAAUCUGCCCUUCAGUCCGGGACAACUUUCCGAAAGGGGAGCUAAUACCGGAUAACAAUGUUUGACACAAGUUAAAUAUUUGAAAGCUCCGGCGCUGAUAGAUGAGUCUGCGUCCCAUUAGCUUGUUGGUGCGGUAGUGGCGCACCAAGGCCACGAUGGGUAGCGGGUUUGAGAGGACGAUCCGCCACACUGGAACUGAGACACGGUCCAGACUCCUACGGGAGGCAGCAGUGGGGAAUAUUGCACAAUGGAGGAAACUCUGAUGCAGCAAUGCCGCGUGAGUGAAGAAGGCCCUUGGGUCGUAAAGCUCUUUUAUGGGGGAAGAUGAUGACGGUACCCCAGGAAUAAGCACCGGCUAACUACGUGCCAGCAGCCGCGGUAAUACGUAGGGUGCGAGCGUUGUUCGGAAUUACUGGGCGUAAAGGGCGCGCAGGCGGAGGUGCAAGUCGGAGGUGAAAUCCCGGGGCUCAACCCCGGAGGGUCUUUCGAAACUGCAUCUCUAGAGAGGGUCAGGGGCCGGCAGAAUUCCUGGUGUAGAGGUGAAAUUCGUAGAUAUCAGGAGGAAUACCGGUGGCGAAAGCGGCCGGCUGGGGCCACUCUGACGCUGAGGCGCGAAAGCGUGGGGAGCAAACAGGAUUAGAUACCCUGGUAGUCCACGCCGUAAACGAUGAGCACUGGACGUUCGGAGGGUUCGACCCUUCUGGGUGUUUCAGCUAACGCAUUAAGUGCUCCGCCUGGGGAGUACGGNC